Molecule: ribosomal RNA, 433 nt
Filed under: uncultured bacterium
Lineage: Bacteria
Description: partial 16S ribosomal RNA
Rfam family: Bacterial small subunit ribosomal RNA
Source: RNAcentral
AACGAACGCUGGCGGCAUGCCUAACACAUGCAAGUCGAACGAGACCUUCGGGUCUAGUGGCGCACGGGUGCGUAACGCGUGGGAACCUGCCCUUAGGUUCGGAAUAACUCCCCGAAAGGGGUGCUAAUACCGGAUAAUGUCUUCGGACCAAAGAUUUAUCGCCUUUGGAUGGGCCCGCGUUGGAUUAGCUAGUUGGUAGGGUAAAAGCCUACCAAGGCGACGAUCCAUAGCUGGUCUGAGAGGAUGAUCAGCCACACUUGGACUGAGACACGGCCCAGACUCCUACGGGAGGCAGCAGUAGGGAAUAUUGGACAAUGGGCGAAAGCCUGAUCCAGCAAUGCCGCGUGAGUGAUGAAGGCCUUAGGGUUGUAAAGCUCUUUUACCCGGGAUGAUAAUGACAGUACCGGGAGAAUAAGCUCCGGCUAACUCCGUG